This 1200-nucleotide long non-coding RNA is filed under the name Pogona vitticeps (central bearded dragon). Its description in RNAcentral is "lncRNA (ENSPVIG00000018718.1)". Lineage: Eukaryota; Metazoa; Chordata; Lepidosauria; Squamata; Agamidae. The record is from RNAcentral.
CCACCUCUUCCAGUACCAGAUGUCUGCUGAGGGGGUUCCCAUUGACAUCUAGGCCCGGAAAUCGUAGAAUUCCACAAAUCCUAUUCCUAGUUCUUCCUUUGCAGUGAAAAUGCAAUCCUCAACUGUCUCCUCUUUUGGGGAGAAGAUAGGGUAUAAAUAACUGUAAUGAAUAAAUGGAUGAACACAAGUCUGUGUUUUUAAUAUUUUACAAUAUAAACAAAAUACUGUAACACUGAUUUUUGCAGGUUGUGAAUCCUGUAAAAUCUCCUGCUGCUGUGACCAUCGGUGUGAGCACAGUUGCCAUAGUGCUGCUAUUGAUAACUAUUGCUGGAUUGUCCUAUUUCUACCUCAAAAGAACAAACCAAAGAUUCCAGUUUCGCUAUUUCAAGGCUGAACUAGAGGAUGAAGAGCCUUCUUCCUGGGAAGAAAGGAGCCCAAACUUGGUCUCUAUUCCAAACCCCAUUUACGGAGCAGACAGCUCCAUCUAUGACCCAUUUGAGGUGAGACUUUGGAUCUUCUUCUUGAGAGAAAUAUAUUUGCAAAGUGUAGCUGAGUUCCAUUAAAACUUAGGAAAGCAGGGAUUUUUCAAAUAUCAGUUAUGUACCUUUUGUUAUCUAUUUGGAAUUACAACUGGUUCCUGCACAAAUCUCUUUCUUUCUUGAAUCCACUCAGUUUAUUAGACACCUUGUCUGCCAGGCAACCCCCAAAUAAGCUGGCCUGAAACAUGCAUUACCAUUUACUUUCUUUCCAACUAAAAAACUGAAACAUUUGCUCAGUAACUUCAUAAUAACAAUAAUCAUGUGCUGCCAAGCCAAUUCUGACUUAUGUGACCCUUUUCAGAGCAAAGGUAAAAAAGUAAGGGCAGAAACAAGCAUUAGUAAAUAUUCCAAGUUGCUGCAAUUUAAAUUUAACAAAUGGUUACUAAGCAGAUAAACAAAAGGCAACGUUUUUAUCCCUUCAAGUUAUUACACUGAAAACAGAACAAGCAAAUGAGCACUUUUCCAUUAAUCUUACAAAUCACAAACUGACAUGAAAAAGAAUUAAGCUUCCUGACACAGGAUAAUCAGAUGGCCUUCAGUAGAACAGUUAAAAUGGUUCAGUUAAUCCUAUUUGGGCCCUCAAAACUGAUUGCAUUGGUGAUCCAUAUAAACAUAAGGCUUAAAUGAUUCUUACUAAUAAACCUGUACCCGUAUAUGUCCA